UUUAUGCUUAUGAGCUUACUAAGCUUCUAUAAGCUUACUUGUGUAUGCUAUUUGUUUUGUAGAUUGACUUAUAUAUAUACAGAGGAUCAGAUCUACAUCAAGGAUCACACUAUCCAGAUUUAUUCCGGUAGAUUUUGUUAAACAACUUUUUAAUUUAUAUGGCAUGUAUAGGGGUUGAUUUGAUAAUGUAAUUGUUUGAAUAAUUAAGUAUGC
RNAcentral lists this long non-coding RNA (213 nucleotides) under Gossypium barbadense (sea-island cotton). Its description in RNAcentral is "long non-coding RNA (GBAR_LNC001243)". The record is from RNAcentral. Lineage: Eukaryota; Viridiplantae; Streptophyta; Magnoliopsida; Malvales; Malvaceae.